This 444-nucleotide ribosomal RNA is filed under the name uncultured bacterium. RNAcentral describes it as "bacterial SSU rRNA". It matches the Rfam family "Bacterial small subunit ribosomal RNA", at positions 336 to 796 of the family's 1533-position model. The record is from RNAcentral.
UUCCUACGGGUGGCAGCAGUAGGGAAUAUUGCACAAUGGGCGAAAGCCUGAUGCAGCAACGCCGCGUGCGCGAAGAAGGCCUUCGGGUUGUAAAGCGCUUUUCUGGGAGAUGAGGAAGGACAGUAUCCCAGGAAUAAGGCUCGGCUAACUACGUGCCAGCAGCCGCGGUAAAACGUAGGAGCCAAGCGUUAUCCGAAUUCACUGGGCGUAAAGCGCGUGCAGGCGGCCUGAUAAGUUGGAUGUGAAAUCUCCGGGCUCAACUGGGAGAGGCCGUUCAAUACUGUUGGGCUAGAGGGCGACAGAGGGAGGUGGAAUUCCGGGUGUAGUGGUGAAAUGCGUAGAUAUCCGGAGGAACACCAGAGGCGAAGGCGACCUCCUGGGUCGCACCUGACGCUCAGACGCGAAAGCUAGGGGAGCGAACGGGAUUAGAUACCCUAGUAGUCU